CACACAGGUGUGUAUGUUUAGCAACACAAAUGCACAAAUCCGGGGGUAUCAUCGGAUGGGGUCACAGUGUCUCCUGACCCCUCCUGUCUCAGCCUCCAGUUUUUAUGCUGCAGUAGUUUAUGUGUCGGGGGGCUAGGGUCAGUUUGUUAUAUCUGGAGUACUUCUCCUGUCUUAUCCGGUGUCCUGUGUGAACUUAAGUAUGCUCUCUCUAAUUCUCGCUUUCUCUCUUUCUCUCUCUCUCUGAGGACCUGAGCCCUAGGACCAUGCCUCAGGACUACCUGGCAUGAUGACUCCUUGCUGUCCCCAGUCCACCUGGCCGUGCUGCUGCUCCAGUUUCAACUGUUCUGCCUGCGGCUAUGGAAUCCUGUCCUGUUCACCGGACCAUGCUGAAUAUAUGUCCUCCAGACGUUAUGUUGGAAGUCUUUUAUACCAAGUCUCACCACAAGGGGGAGACAGGCAUUUGUGAGCUCUGGUUGGUGAUGUACUUUGACAUUGGUGCCACUUCCUCAUUCUGAGCGAAGCUGUCCACGAACCAGUCUCAUCAUUUGUAAUGUUUUGCAGGAUACUGUUAUCUGUUGACGUGGUCCUAAUUCGGGACCUGUUACACUACCAACUCCCACCUGACACUAUAGAUAUCACACAUACACAUUUCUCGGGAGCAGCAAAUGCAGGGUCAACCACAGAGCAACGCUCCAGGAGCGGUUGAGGGGUUAAGUGCCUCGAUCAAGGACACAACAUUAGGGAAUUGUAGCUGUGACCUGAAACCAGCAGUCUUCCAGUUGUCAGUUUAGUUCCAGAUUUUCAUCACCAGAACCGAGACUUGAAUCAAUGACUUUCUGAGCUACGUAUUGUUUCCUUGUAUCAGGCUUUACAAUCAGAUAAGUGAAGUAAUAUGUAAUUGCAAUGGAUUUAAUGGAAUAUGGAUUCAUUUGCUGAUAUGAUCAUACUGUCAAUGCGAGUAAUGGACUCUCUUGCUUGGAU
Oncorhynchus tshawytscha (Chinook salmon) is the source of this 981-nucleotide long non-coding RNA. The record is from Ensembl. Lineage: Eukaryota; Metazoa; Chordata; Actinopteri; Salmoniformes; Salmonidae.